Molecule: non-coding RNA, 781 nt
Organism: Equus caballus (horse)
Lineage: Eukaryota; Metazoa; Chordata; Mammalia; Perissodactyla; Equidae
Source: RefSeq, a predicted model, not a curated record
CUCAUUUCUCUGCGCCUACAAGUGUAUUUCAGCGUUCUUCAUUUUCCAUUUAUAUCCUAAGUGCAUUCUGGUAAAGACAGAAUUCUAUUUUGCUCUUAGAGAACACCUGCUAAGUUACUGAUGUUCAUAAAAGCAUAGCAUUAGAAUUCUAGAACCACAAAUCACUUUGAAUGGUUCAGUUCUACACCUCUUGGCAGCACUAUGUGCCCGUUUCAGAAUGGUGAAUUCAAUACUUCUGGAAUGCUCCAGGUUAUCCUUAAAUCAGGCCAGGGAGUGAAGAAAAUGAAAAUACAGCCAACUCUCAAUAAUAAUGGGAGGUGUAGCAGAAUCUCUUGUACAGAGCAGCUCUGCCAUAGUGCAAGAACAAAAAGAUUUCCUUGCUUUCAAAAGAUGAUAUAUGUCAAUGCCUCCUUGGACUUGUUUACGAUGACUGGUGUUAGGAAUGCUGCUGGCAGCCAUCCUCCUGCCCUGCUCUCUGCUGAGGUAGCCUUGCUCACUAUAGCCUUCCUGCUGUAGCUGCUGGUUUCUGGCCACUCUCCACAGCCCCUGACCCAUCUGCAAGCCUGAGAGAAAAGCCAGAAGCCCUAUGGAUUCCUCAGAGGUACCUGGGAAAAGGCAGGAGAGGGUGCGCUCUAGUCUCUUCCACCUCCAUUUGACCUUCAACCAGAGCAGCUCUACAUUUAUCUGUUACAAAUAUUGGACUUCCUCAUAUACAAAUAUUUAGAAAACUACUGACCUAGACUUCCUAUUUGACCUUGGCCUUAAAAUAACUUUUCCUGGG